UAAGAGAACAAGCGAACUUGGAACAGGAGAACAAGGAAGAGAAGUUGGGUGCAAUGGGGACAGUCCAGGUGUGAUGAAAUAGUCAUGAGGAGAGGCAGAGUCUAGCUUGAGUUACACCCCGCCGGUCGUAAAGUAAUGAACGGGAGAUCUAGAGGAGGAACAGCACAGAGAUGGACAGAGGAAGCAACAGCUCUUAUAAAAAGUGUGACCACUGAAAGUGGAACUAAUCUAAAGGAACAGUCUCAUUAUUGAAGUAAAAACAGUUGUCCGGACCAAAUCUUAAGAAUGACUCGACUAGAAUCUGCUCUCCAGCGGUCAGAAAGCCGCUCUGUGACAGAAAUACAGAGCAGAAGAGGAAGUGUCAGCCAACACACAGAAACUAAAAGAGAAGUGGAACAAAAUGGCGGUCGUGCUAUUUUUAAGAGAGCCAGUCGCUUCCUCUCAAGAGACAGGGAAGUGGAAGGCGGCAGUCCAGCCUCUCCUGUGCGGCACUACGAAAGAGGCCACCCCCUUCCAGCCAACCACAGUCCAGAACGCAAAGCCACCAUCCCCUUCCGAAACCGUGACCUGGGCCUACCGUCCAUCAGGAGGCGCUCUGACAAUCUUAGCGAUGAGGCGAUAAGUGGUCUCUCUCCCCAACGAUACAUGCCCUAUUCAAAUUUCAGACGUGGCGACAGCCAAUCUCGUGCAAGCCCUCGCUCUGGGAGUCCAAGAUCUAUGAACGUCUCACCACAUAGGCGAGCAGAAUCUCGAAGUUCAUCCCAUCACCAAGGUUCUACCACGCAUGGUCACCGAACAUCUCACACUUCCUCCAAACAUGCCUCUGGGAAAUGUACACCAUCGCGAAGACGAGAUUCUGUCGUCUCGCGCACCGCCUCUCCCUUGAGAAGCUCUGGGACGAACAAAUAUGCUGAUUUGUUUAGCCCCUCCCACAAAAGAAGCCCCUCCCAGAGUUCUUACGGGCAUAGUUUAGAUUCCGAAAAGCUGUAUAGGAAUCUCAAAUCGAUUGCCAGUUCGGCUGAGUCAGAUGCUUCAGACGACAGGCAUUGCUGGUCGAAACAGUUGAAUUCUGACAUGGAAAUAGAUGGCAAUUAUAAUGAACGAAAUCAUAGUAGUCAUAACAGUGGACGAAACAGUAGAAAAAGUGGCCACAAUACUGGCUGCAAAAGUCGUGAUUACUCCCCGACUGGAGGCUACUAUGACGACAACCAUGUCUCGCAUAAAACAAGUCACGUCAGUCGGAAUAGUGGUCGAAACAGUCGCAACAGUAGAAAUGCUGGUUGUAGCACUGGCUAUAACAGCACUGGUGUCUCGACCCCUUAUCGAGAUUAUAAUAACCAUGGUCACAGCACUCCUAGAAACCAUUUGAAUCAUAAAUCUGACCGAGAUGGUGCAUUAUCAGACGCCUCACCCAAACAGUCCAGAUCUGAUUCCCAUCAAUCUCAAAGCUCCACCCACUACCCUCUAAGCCCCAUCUCUCAAAAACAAUUAGAUCCCAGCGAUUUCGCCAAAUCCCAAGCUUUAGAUGCUGAGAUGAACAAGCCAGUCACUGAUAGGAGCGGAAGCAGCAUCAGGCGGGGCUUGGAGGCAAUAAUUCUGUCAGAGAACCCCAGAUCCGAGAGCCAACCAGCAGUGCCAGAGAUGACCAUAGAGGACUAUGUGAUAAUAGCGGAUAUUCCCCGCUCUAAACUGUAUCCUGAAGAAGAAGAAACAAUUGUAGUGAGAAGGAGACCGCAGAGCCAAAGCCCACGCCGAGACAAUCAGCACAGCUACAGGGAUGUGAAAUAUGGUUGUGAGCUUGAGGUUUCAGAGGAGCGAGGCAGAGGAAGAGAAAGAGAGCGAGGAAGAGACCGCCGAGAGAAAGAACGCAGACGUCCAGACAAAGAGAUGGGAGGACAAUCAAAAACCAACAGCACUGCAUCGGGACAAUCACAGCUUGACUCUCUGAACUAUAAAAAGGGAUGGAUGGAUAUGCUGGAUGAAGAUGAAGAGUGGAGGAAGUAUUGGUUUGUGAUCACUGACUCAGGAUUGAGAUACUAUAGAGACUCAGAGGCUGAAGAGAGGGAUGAGGCAGAUGGUGAGAUUUAUUUAUAUCACUGUCUGAGAGUGGAGGAAUUUGAUGCUGACAAGAACUAUGGACUUCAAUUGCAUAUGCGUGAUGGACUGGUCACUCUGUCCACGAUGACCUCCAGAAUCAGGAGGAACUGGAUCGACAUCCUCAGAAGAAGAAUUUCCUUCAGGGAUUCAGCUGAAAGCAUCCAGUAUGAUAGUAGGAAGUUGGUAUGUCCUUCUGUUCUCAGACACCCUGACAACAGUGACACCAGUGAUAGAGAGAACUCGAAUGCACCAUCUCGAACCUCUCCAUCACCCCCACAUCAGCAUGACCCGGAGUCAGAUAUCACCGGCCCAUAUCACGAUGAACCUGACAUGAUGUCAUCGCCGUUAACCAAUCGAAGGGAGGCAGGUGAGGGCCGUGACAAGGAACACGAGAGACGUCUGGAGGACCGGACUAAGUGGUUCCAAGAUGGAGUUUCAGACAGGGAGGGUGAGGACCCCUGGGAUAAGGUGGAUUUAAAGAAAGGUGCCUUGACUUCUAUUGCUCUGACCCAGCUGGAGGUUCCUGACGCUCCAACAGGGCCAGACAUUGAAAGGAAGUGGGCGGAUUUUGAGCAAUUUACAUUUGGAGAGCUGAGGUCGCUGUCACUGGUUGGUUCCCAGACUCCACGAGCGACAAAUGAGCUGCUUCAGCAAGAGGUGACUAGUGUUGUACUGUACUGUGGUCAAUGUACAAUGUUGAAUCUUUUCAUGCUAUCCCGUGUCCUCUCUUGCUUCUCAUCCUCCGCUCUUUGUUCUGAUGUUGUGUUCACUCUUAAAAAUAAAAGUUCCAAAAAAUGUUGAUGAUGUCAUUGAAGAACAUGUUUAAAACUUUUAUUAUGUCAUUGGAAAGUCUUUUAAAUUAAGACUCAAUCUUAAGAAUUAAGAUUAAAUUAAUCCAUACAAUGCGAGUGAAUGGUGACCAGAACUUUGAAGCUCUAAAGCAUAUAAAGGCAGCAUAAAAUUAAUCCAUACGACUCCAGUGGUUUAAUCCAUGUCUUCAGAAGUAAUAUGAUAGCUGUGGGGGAGAAACAGAUCAAUAUUUAAGUCCUUUUUUUACGACAAUUCCGAUAGCACGUGAAGCCAGCAUAACAGUCAAAAUGUUCUUUGCUAAAAUGUGAAGUGUCAGCUUUAUUUGGGUUCUCUAAUUAAUUAAAGCGACAGAAAUAAAAUUUCUCGUAUCAUUACUCACCCUCAUGCUGUCCCAGAUGUGUAUGACUUUCUUUCUUCAGCUGAAUGCAAAUGAAGAUUUUUAGAGGAAUAUUUCCGCUCUGUAGGUCCAUACAAUGCAAGUGAAUGGUGACCAGAACUUUGAAGCUCCAAAAAGCACAUAAAGGCAGCAUAAAAGUAAUCCAUAAGACUCCAGUGGUUUAAUCCAUGUCUUCUAAAGUGAUAUGAUAGGUGUGGGUGAGAAACAGAUCAAUAUUUAAGUCCUUUUUUACUAGAAAUUCUCCUCCCUGCGCAGUAGGUGGUGAUAUGCACGAAGAAUGUGAAUCACCAAAAACAAAAGAAGAAAAAUGUGAAAGUGAAAGUGGAGAUUUAUAUUAAAAAGGACUUAAAUAUUGAUUUAGUUUGGGUCCUGUUGUUAAUUCCGUUCCCUGUUUUGUCAUUUAAAGAAUUAGUUGAGAGAGAAUUUCUUUGACAUGUAAGAUAAAUGGACAUUAUUUUGGAAUAUUCCCAAAUCAGAAUUGACUCAAAUCGUAUCGUAUCGUAGUCUAAUCGAGGACUUGUAAAUCGUAAUUGAAUCAAUCGAGAAAUCUGAAUCAAUACCCAGCCAAUUAUAAUUUUAAACAUUUUAAUUUUCCUAUGAUGUAAUUGGAGAACCCUUUAAAUUUCAUAGUACAUCAUAGGAUAAUAAAAAUAUUUUAAAAAUGGAUCCCCUUUUCUCCCAGUUUGGAAUACCCAAUUCCCACUACUUACUAGAUCCUCGUGGUGGCGCGGUUACUCACCUCAAUCCGGGUGGCGGAGGACAAGUCUCAGUUGCCUCCGCUUCUGAGAC
Myxocyprinus asiaticus (Chinese sucker) is the source of this 4093-nucleotide RNA transcript. It is a transcript of the gene named filaggrin-like, with no coding region annotated. The record is from RefSeq and is a predicted model, not a curated record. The transcript has 10 exons. NCBI's taxonomy places the organism in Eukaryota, Metazoa, Chordata, Actinopteri, Cypriniformes, Catostomidae.